AAGUGGGGUGCUGGUUUGUAUGGCUGUUGGGAGGGAUGGGAAGUGGGGUGCUGGUUUGUAUGGCUCUUGGGAGGGUUGGGAUCAGGGUGCUCCUCUGGGGAGCUUUGAGGAGGGUAAGAAGUGGAGUACAGCUCUGGGUGCCCAUUGGGAGGGAUGGGGUGCUGCUCCAGGCACAGCGUGCUGCCUCCAGGUUGGAGGGCGUCCAUUCUCCUGUCCAGGAUGCUCAGAGAGUUCCCAGCUGCUUCUCACACUUCCAUCUGAGCUGGAGGUCUCCAUGGAAUUCCAGCAGAAGUCCCAGAGUGUCCCUCAUGUCUUCCCCUCUGUUCACAGUGGGAACAGCAUGUUUGGUGCUUCCAGCGGCUCCAGCAAUGCCCUCCUCUGACCUUCUUCCCCGAGCAUAAGUUGUUGUGGUUUUGCCAGUGCCCCACGGGCAGCGAGCACUGGUGUCAGAGCAGCUCCAGAGCUGUUGUGCGUCCUGCCCACAGGGGAAGGGGCCCGAGGGGUGGCACCCACUGCAUCUCCAGGCAGAGCGGAGAUAUUUAGGAGGGGACCUGUGGCCGGCCUGGCAUGCAGUGUGACUGCAGCAUGGGUGACGCUGCGUGGGACACAGUGCUCUGUGGGGUCAGCCACCCCAGCAGCACGGGCAGGCGGGUGUCUGAAGAAGCUCUAGGCACAGACGAGACAUCCAGUCAGGAUUUGUGCGUCAGGGGACCAGUGGGAACGUUUAAGGACAGUUUUUCAACGUGCUGCAGAAUUCUGUAUCGCCAAUUCACGAGUGCAGAUGUUGUUGCGGACCGGCAGGAGCUAUUGGCAGUUGGGUCUUUUCCCACCUCCGAAGACAUGUGAAGCAAUUUGGAUCCAUGCAACGUUAGCUGAAUUGUGCUGUUAACAUGAUAAGUGGUGUUACAAGUGAGAGCAUUAGACAAAAAUUCACAUCUUUAGGAUCCCGAAUGUGUCUGUUAGCUAUAUGUCUCCAAAGAAAUUUUGUCACCCUGUCUGCAGACUUUAAUAACACAACAGCAAAGUACUAGACUGUGUUUUGUUCAGGUUUGGGGCUACGAUUGUGUUCUUUUUCAUUGCUAUAAAAAUCCAGCAAAAUCUGGCCUUGCCAUAAACCUGUGAGAAGUUGAGUGUGCACAUGUUCAGUAGAUAUUCCCUACGCAUUUGCAGAUAAACUCUUUGGAAAUGCUACCAGGGUAUUUUAAAACUAAACCUAUUGAUGCUGUGAAGCACUGUGUUGCCGCAAGAACUGGUGCCAUGGCAGAACUCAAGAGGAAAUCGCUAAUUCUGAUGUGCCCAGCCUGCAUGCCAUGCCAUCCUUGAGUCUUGGAGCUGCAGGUGAACCGGGAUGACAAAAACGCUGAUGGAAUGGCAGCUUGCUUGGGGAGCUGUGCACAGGACCAAGGGCCCUCUGGAAAAAAUGGCAAGCGAGGAGGUUGUUAAUGCUGGGGAAGCUGUCUACAUCUGUGGCGUUGGUGCUGUCCUUUCCAGUGCCACCAGUGAGAGCCAAGGCAGGAGGGAGCUGGGUCUCUGGGUCCCAGUUGUGACAUCCCUGCAUGAACCACCUUGGAGCCCAGGCAACUGUGAUGAUAGAAGUCUGUUCUGAGCUGUUUUUCUGGUGAGUCCCUUUAAAGGAACAGGGCUGAAACCGCAUUGCUGCUAAUGAUUCCUUCCAUGGGUGUGGCUUUCCUUUGCUUGAAUAUGCUUGAAGUCAUGCACAGUGAGAAGUGGUUUUCAAAAGCUGUCUUAUUUUUGGCACUGAAUGCAGAAUGUGGCCAUGUUCUGCCCAGAAGUUAACACCUUGCACCUGGUUCCCACUCACCCUUCGCUUAUUUACCAUUCAGUUUCGAAAAUGGACCGAGGACUACACACCACGCAUGCCUAUAAAAUACUGCACUUCAUUUUAUCAUGAUGGUACUUCAGAUGUUGAGUGUUAAACCUGCAGAACAGAAAAGCAGGUCAGUAAUUUGCACCAGGUCAAGCUGAUUAUUUUCUGAUUAUUUUCUUCCUGCUAAUCUUGUGGAUUAGAGUGAGGUGAUCCAGAGCUGUCAGUUAUGUUUGGGGAUGACGCAUGGAUGGAGCAAAGUUGAACUUGAUAAAAUCUAUAGAGCAGACAAAAAAAACCACCAAACUGUUUGCUUCUCACCCCCACAUACUCUCUCUAAAAAAAAGUGGGAAAAUUGUACAUAGAAAGCAUUUAUCAUUUCAGCGCAACCUCUCCUAUAUCUCUUUGUGCCUCCUUGUUAAAUUGUGCUUUGUUCUCUGGAAAGAAGGCGAAAAUCAAGGGGACAGAAUAAAGUUGGGGUACUUGAAUUUGUGACUUAGUUAAGUCGUCGUUAGCAGAGAGGCUUCCCUAGGUGUAAGGGCAGGACUGCGUGAUACAUCCUGAGGAAUGCGUCCGAGUCCUGUGAGAUACCCGGUUACAUCAUUUUAAGUAUCUACUGGUGACUUUGCUGGGAAUAAAUAUGCCUUAAAAGACUCCUUGCACCCAGCCCAGCAGUGGAAGGAAUUGUGCCUUCACUUCUCUCUAUUCUCAAAUACAAGCAGUUUGUCACCAAAUGAAUGCUUGAAGUGACUUCACUGCUUUCAGUACAGUUUAUCUGAGAGCAGGUUUCAUCUGUUGCCUCAAAAAUAUUAGUUUUUGGAUUUCCAUGGGAAGAUAAAGUAGGAGGGAGAAAAACAACCUCCUCUACUUGUGUGAAUUCCUAUUAAAACAUCAUUUACUUUCUUAUUCCCUAGUGGAAGUGCAUGCCUGAUUUCAAUUAAAAUGAAAUGUCAUCAUUUUGGGACAUACUGCAUAGUUUCAACAGAUAUGCCUUGUGUUAGUCCAUUAGGGAGAAGAUGCUGGAUUUGUAUAAAGGCCAACAGGUACAGAGGAUGCUUCGCACCAUGGUGAAAUUGUGUGUGUGUGUAUCCUACCAGCACCCUGUUUAGCUGAACUCAGCAGAGACUUUCCCUUGUUUUCCACCUGUGUUGUUUGCAGGUGUUUAGAGCAGUCUUUGUUCGACCUCUCUGGUGAUGGAUUUCCUGGAUUCUACUGCCUCGUUCCAUGGGUCCAAGCAGCCUUUCCCACUUGGAGAUGCUGUGUCCUGCAAGCCCCCACUGUAUUAAUUGACAGCAGUGGUAAUUGGUGAUGUUUUGCUCUGAGCAAGACUGUAUGGUAUGUUCUGUAGUUGAGGGAAGUCUACAGUACUGAAUUUUACCAUAAUAUAUAUAUAUAUAUAUUACCAUAAUAUAUAUAUAUAAUAUAUAUAUAUGUAUACAUAUACAUUCCUGUUGAAGCAUCAUGCUAUACACUAUUUUUUAAUUCAAAGGAAGUUUCUCUUGUGUUUUGCUCACCCUCUACCCCCUCUGCAGUGGGAUGGGGGAAAGAAUUAAAAAAAAAAAAUAACAACAAUGUGGAACUCGAGGGUUGAGGUAAAACUCAUUACUAA
Long non-coding RNA from Numida meleagris (helmeted guineafowl), 3434 nucleotides. RefSeq lists it as uncharacterized. The record is from RefSeq and is a predicted model, not a curated record. The transcript has 2 exons. NCBI's taxonomy places the organism in Eukaryota, Metazoa, Chordata, Aves, Galliformes, Numididae.